AACGCACGAGACCUGCGGACCUGCGGAGGGAUCAUUAUCGAGUUUACAACUCCCAAACCAUUGUGAAUCUUACCUUUUCGUUGCUUCGGCGGGAUCGCCCCGGGCGCUUCGGUGCCCCGGAUUCAGGCGCCCGCCGGGGGACCUAAACUCUUGUAUUAUAGUGGAUUUCUGAGUGGAUUACACAAAUAAUCAAAACUUUCAGCAACGGAUCUCU
Molecule: unclassified non-coding RNA, 214 nt
Filed under: soil metagenome
Description: partial contains 5.8S ribosomal RNA, internal transcribed spacer 2, and large subunit ribosomal RNA
Source: RNAcentral